RNAcentral lists this ribosomal RNA (1243 nucleotides) under metagenome. Its description in RNAcentral is "bacterial LSU rRNA". It matches the Rfam family "Bacterial large subunit ribosomal RNA", at positions 1564 to 2817 of the family's 2925-position model. The record is from RNAcentral.
UGAAUACGAGACGCUAAGGCGUCGAAGUAGUGUAUGUCAUACUUCCAAGAAAAGCUUGCACUGUCAUAGAUAAAAAACGCCUGUACCAUAACCGACACAGGUGGGUAGGUAGAGUAUACUAAGGGGCGCGAGAUAACUCUCUCUAAGGAACUCGGCAAAAUAACUCCGUAACUUCGGGAGAAGGAGUGCCUUAUUCGUAAGGUUGCAAUAACAAGAUCCAAGCAACUGUUUAUCAAAAACACAGGUCUCCGCUAAGUCGUAAGACGAUGUAUGGGGGCUGACGCCUGCCCAGUGCCAGAAGGUUAAAGAAGUUGGUUAGCAAUUGCGAAGCUGAUAACUGAAGCCCUGGUGAACGGCGGCCGUAACAAUAACGGUCCUAAGGUAGCGAAAUUCCUUGUCGGGUAAGUUCCGACCCGCACGAAAGGCGUAAUGAUUUGGAUACUGUCUCGGAGAGGGGCUCGGUGAAAUAGACUUGUCUGUGAAGAUGCGGACUACCUGCACCAGGACAGAAAGACCCUAUGAAGCUUUACUGUAACUUGAAAUUGAAAUUGGACUUUAUUCGCGCAGUAUAGGUGGGAGGCGUUGAUUAUAAUCUUGUGGGAUUAUUGGAGCCAUCAGUGAGAUACCACUCUUGUAAUGUUAGAUUUCUAACUUUGAAUCAUUAUCUGGUCAAAGAACAGUUUCAGGCGGGCAGUUUGACUGGGGCGGUCGCCUCCUAAACGUUAACGGAGGCGUACAAAGGUUUCCUCUGAACGGUUAGAAAUCGUAUCUAGAGUGUAAAGGCAUAAGGAAGCUUGACUGUGAGACCUACAAGUCGAGCAGGGACGAAAGUCGGUCUUAGUGAUCUGACGGUACUGAGUGGAAAGGCCGUCACUCAACGGAUAAAAGUUACUCUAGGAUAACAGGCUGAUCUCCCCCAAGAGUUCACAUCGACGGGGAGGUUUGGCACCUCGAUGUCGGCUCAUCGCAUCCUGGGGCGGUAGUACGUCCCAAGGGUUGGGCUGUUCGCCCAUGAAAGCGGUACGCGAGCUGGGUUCAGAACGUCGUGAGACAGUUCGGUCCAUAUCCGGUGUAGGCGUUAGAAUAUUGAGAGGAGCCUUCUUUAGUACGAGAGGACCGAGAAGGACAUACCUCUGGUGUACCAGUUAUCGUGCCAGCGGUAAACGCUGGGUAGCUAUGUAUGGAGUGGAUAACCGCUGAAAGCAUCUAAGUGGGAAGCCCACCUCAAGAUAAGUAUUCUCAU